UAAUAUUUCUAAAAAAAGAGGUCCAGAAAGAGAAAGAAAACUCCGAUCGAAAGCUCUCCUCCUUUGCCUUUUCUCCAAGCUAUUUCUUUCAAUCUAGGGUUUCAUCAUACUCUUCUUCUCCACCAAGAAUUCAGGUUUUGGAAAAUUGAAAAUGAUGUCCCUAACCCCAUAUCAUUUCAGAAAAGCUGGAUUGGGGGUUAUGGCACCUCUGAUUUUAUUUAAUAUUUUUCUUAAACAAACAUUUUCUAUUGGAGUCAUUCCAAGAUCGUAUGUUGGAGGGCGGAAUGAGAACUAAGGCGGUCAAUUGCCCGCCGAGGCUGGAGUCAUUCCAAGAGCAGUUCGCCAAAUCUUUGAUUCAUUGCAGAGCUCGAAAAUUUGCAUGGGAAGCAAAGGGACUUAUUAUAACCUUGUGGUGUGGUUGCUUAUUGCAAUUUCAAGUUAAAGUUGACAUGGGCAAACCCAUACUUAAAGCGUUGGAUGUACCUACAAAAUUACCUACAAACAAAGAUCAAUCCGUUGUUAAAUCAGAACUAAAUGUAGAUGGUGUAUCUUGGAAUGUGACUUGUGUUAGUAUGGGAAAUCCUCAUUCUGUAACUUUUAAAACAAAAGGAGGCCAGGUAUGAAUUUUGGACAUGAUGGAACAAUUAGUGAUUGUUGCAUUCGUCUAGAUCCAUUAUGUUGUACCUUAUUUUAAAGCAUAUGUUUUUUUUUUUAAUAUUAUAUCUUUUUUCCAUUUGACCCUUGAUUUGGUCAUAGGUAACACACACUUGAUGGGAUCCUGAGUUCGUUUGGCAACCCCUCUCCUGUCCAGGUAUUGAACGAACCAAGUGUCAUCUAGGUAAUGACCACAUUCAUUUCAGGAAUGAUAAAUAUACUGAACCGUUAUGACAAUAGAAAUCAUGAACAUAAAUGCGUAACUUUAAGCAUAAAAGUCGUUAUUUGCAAAGGCCAAUUAUUGACAUAAAGUAUUAAAGAGACACAUAAAAUGUUACAACUCUAUUAGAAUAAAAGGCCAUCAGACAUCAAAUUCAAAUAUGAAAAACAAUUCCUUAGAAAAACUAUUAUUUGUUUCUUCCAAAAACUGACUUAGGAUUCGAAAAUGUGUGUUAAGCAAAAUCAUUUAGACACACCUUGUUGUAGGUAGGUACACUCAUUGUCUGCUAAGAGGAAGGUAGCGAGAAAGGAAGAUUGUUGUCCAUGCACCAACAAUUGGUGUCAUAUGUGGGAAUUAAGCUAAAAACCUUAAGAGUAGAUAACUAACUUACUUCCUAGAAAUGCAUCCUCAUUUGAUAGAUAUGGGCGAUUAAUUCCGUGCAUAGCAAGCCAAAAUGGGGAGAAGACAGGUAGAAUAUGAGUGAGCAGCUGAAAUAGGAAAAAGAAGAGUUAUGGGCACAAAUGGUCUAGGGACAUCAUGCGAGCCAGAGGAAGCCACCACACACAUAGUCAAAUGAUCUCGAGGCCAACUCGAAGCUAGACAGCGAAAACUCCUCCGCUUGAUAGAGAAUCAUCACUACAAGCUGACGAUGAGUUAUUUGCUAGUAGUUCACCAACCUUACCAAAGCCAAGGAGUUCCAAAAUGGUGUGUAGUUUAGAAAAAUUGGGCGAAUGAAACCACUAGUUCGGUGAAGCGCAAGAGGGGCUCAAAAUAGGGACCAUGAGUGUUAGAUGCCUUGAAAACCCGAUUUAGGCAUCCUCAAGAAGAAGCUUCACUAAGACGUUUUCCGCAAUGCAUAAAUCCCGAACAUCAACCACAAGAAGUUUUAUUAAAAGCCCCAUUUCCCCUAGGCACGAUAAGUAGACGAUUGGAUGACAUGUCGUCCAUCGUUUGACUUUUAUAUUAUCAUUACGAGUUGCCCAAAGAAUUCGUGGUACUAAAGUUUACCAUGUAUGAUGGGUCAAGCGAUUUUUUUGACCAUUUGAUGCACUUCCAGCAAAUGAUGAUGCUGGAUAUAGGUAAUGAUUUGCCACUAUGCAAGGUUUUUUCUGUCAGUCUUCAUGGUUUGACUUUGUUGUGGUUUCACCAACUCCUCUAAAAAUUUGGCAAACUUAUUCAGAGACAUAUUAGAGGCAUUUGUGGCGCAUUACCUAAAGCUCUGCCCAACAAAAACAGAAUAUAAGCACCUUGUUGAACAUCAAGAUGUUGGAAAACAAGUCAAUGAGAGAUUUUAUGAAUUGGUUCAAACAAGUGGUGUUUAUAAGUAGAGUCGUACAACAAGAAUUCGUGCUUUCUACUAUAAAUUUUUGAAAAGAGUACAAGUCUAGGCAUUCAUUUCUUCAAGUAUUUUACCAAAAAGCUGUUGGCUACCAUGGAUGAUUUAUUCCGGAGGGUAGCCAAGUACAUGACAAGAUGAUGUACAAGCAACCUCUCGGCAGAUCCUUGUCACAACCUAGACGUUAAAAAAAAAAAAAAAAAAAUUCCAAGUUGUCAGACAACCGGUCUAGACAUGGUAACUGAAAAUAUUCCCAAUAAAGGCAGUAAAGACGACAACAACCUUGGUUCGUAUUUUUUACUGUCUCAUAUGAAUGUAUUAUGCCACUUAUCCAAGAACUACCUGAAUUCAAAUGACCGGAACCUAUCGAGAUAGAUUAAGCUAGAAAGGAUUAGAGAUGAUAAUGCUUUUACCAUAAGGAACAUGGGCAUAUCAUGGAAGAGUGCCAACAAUUGUACUACAUGGUAGAAAAGCUAGUAAAGACUAGAAACUUGAAACGGUAUGUUCAAACAGUUGUCGGAUUGAACUCUCACUUAUCCUAUAACACAACGUGGUAGCGAUAAAUUAUAUACACAGGGGACCGACAAAUAAUAAAUACUAUUCAAGGUAUCAAAUGAGGAUAAUGAUUAGGACAACCACCGUGAGAGAACAUGUAAACAUGGUCUAAUGUUGUUUCACUUUAGAAAGCGCUCGACCAAUUGAUAGACUAGUCACCUUCUUACCGAUUAACCCUAAUCAAGUCAUAGUGCCUCAUGAGGAUGCGCCAGUGCUAACACUUAGACUUAGUGGCUUUAAUGUACAAAGGAUUUUGGUUAAUCCAUAGAGCUCCGCUGACCUGUUACAGAUGUUAGCCUAUAAACGAAUGGGACAUUCACCAACUGUUUUAGAAAGUCCAAGUUGUGUGCUAUUUGAAUUUAAUGAAACUACUACAAUGUUCCUAAGAGAUGUCAUACUUUUUAUUAAAGCCGAACCAGUCACUCUCUAUGUAAGAUUCUCCGUGGUAGUAGAUUUGAUGCCCUACAAUGCCAUACUGGGUCGGGCAUAGUUGCACAAAAUGAAAGCUAUUUUGUCCACUUACCUUCAGACGAUCAGUUACUUAAUGGAGAAAGACACUUUACCUACACGGGAACUAAUUAGCUUUCUGGUAGUGCCAUCAAGUAAUAAUGGAAUCAGACCAAAGUACCUUCCCUGUAGACGAGCCUAAGUCAUUUGAGGAAUGUGCCAAAUAGGAAUUGCAAAGUCGGACACAAGAGAAAAUGGAAGAUCGAGACCCUUUGGUUGUAGACUCGCUUGAACGACUAAGUCUUUCUGAAAGCGAAGAUCAGAUAACUUAUAAUGCCAUACUGGGUCGGGCGUAGUUGCACAAAAUGAAAGCUAUUUUGUCCACUUACCAUCAGAUGAUCAGUUACUUAAUGGAGAAAAGCAAAGUGCACCUAUACGGGAACUAAUUAGCUUCCUGACAGUGCUAUCGAGUAACAAUGGAAGCAGACCAAAGUACUUCCCCUACAGAUGAGCCUAAGUCAUUUGAGGAAUGUGCCAAAUAGGAAUUGCAAAGCCGGACACGAGUGAAAAUGGAAGAUCGAGACCCUCUGGUUGUAGACUUGCUUGAACGACUAAGUCUUUCUAAAAACGAAGAUCAGAUAACUUAUGUCAACACUUUGUUGAUUACAAAAAGUACAAUAGUUUAGGGCAAAUGCUAAAAAAAAGCAAAGAUGUAUUCACAUGAAAAUAGUCAGACAUGCUUGUUGGCGCACGACCAACAAUAUCUUUUUCGACUAGCUUUUUCUGAGCGAACGACGAGCUUUCCUGCAACAACGUGUGUCCGGAUGGUUUUUUCGGGCACUUCCCUCCGAAUGUUAAGUUAAUGUCUAGAAAAGACGAACAAUAACUUUUUAGGGAACUUAUUUCAUACAUGAAUUUGAUGUUUGAUGACCCUUUAUUCUGACAGAGUUGCAACAUUUCACGUAUCUCUUUAAUACUUUAAAUGCUAGUAAUUGACCAUGCGAAUAACAACUUUUGGGCUUAAAGUCAGACAUUUAUGUUCAUGAUUUCUUUUGUUGUAACAAUUCAGAAUAUUUAUUACUUUUUGCACAAUGAAUAUGGAUGUUGCCCAGAUAACCCUUUGUUUGUUUGAUACUUGGACGAGAAACGAAAGAUUGGAUGGAUGCAGGUCCUACAACACCCCCAAAUUCCCUCAACUAGAUCCAUUUAGAAACUAGAUGGACGGUUGGAGAUAAUUUACUAUUAACUUACUUGUUGGAAAAGUUUUCAAAAUUUUGUUUUGGAGCUAAAGUGGCACAUGUUCGAUAGGUGAUGCAUGAUUAUGGUGGUUGAUAGACAACAAGUCUUUUCAAAAUGCCUCGAUCAUUGCGCCCAUUUUUCUCUUAUUUAAAUGGUUCGCUAUCGGUGCCAUUUCAACCUAGUCAUUGGUGUCAGAAUACCUCUACUUUAUUAUACCAUGUUAGGUUUCUUCAUCUUUCAUUGAAUGUUUCCUUCUUUUAUCAGCAUUGUGUUAGGGUUUUUGCAUAUUAUGCUACUACAUAGUUUUGCCUGAGUUGUGAUUUGUGAGGGUGUUUUGCUUGAUUUGUAAGGGUUUUUCAAAGCCAAAGCAUGAAUUUUAACCAACCAAUAAUUUUAUAAGUGGCUUUGAGUCAUCGAUACUUUAUAGAAAACUUUAAGCCAUCCAAGGGGUCAAACUUAGUAGCAUUAGGAUAUCGGGUUGAUGUAUUUUGUGUCUCGAUCUAAGAGACAUUUGGUUAAUUCUUUUACACUAUUUUGGUUUUGCUUUUAAUCGAUGAGACCAGGGCUCAUGUUGUUCGGUUUCGUUCCUUCAUUUUCAACGGUUUAGUUAAGUGCUUGUAAGCACGUAGCCAUCUUUGACUUUGUUCUUCCACUUUUAAUGGUUUAGUUAGGUGUUUGUAAGCACGUAGUUGUCGGCUUCAUUCUUUCAUUUUUAGCGGUUUAGUUAAGUGCUUGUAAGCACAUAGUCAUCAACUUCAUUUUUUGCUUUUAGCGGUUUAGUUAAGUGUUUGUAAGCAUGCAGUCAGCUUCGACUUUGUUAUUCCACUUUAGCAGUUUAGGUGCUUGUAAGUGCGUAGCCGAAUUUGACUUUAUUUUUUCGCUUUUAGCAAUUUAGGCGCUUGUAAGCACAUAGCCAAAUUUGACUUUGUUAUUUAGAUUUAGCGGUUUAGGUGCUUAUAAGCACAUAGCCAAAUUCAACUUUGUUAUUCCAUUUUUAACGAUUUAGGUGCUUGUACAACAUAUAGUCGGAUUCGUCUUUGUUCUUUUGCUUUUAGUGGUUUAGGUACUUGUAAUCAUGUAGUCAGAUUCGUCUUUGUUCUUCUACUUUUAGCAAUUUAGGUGCUUGUCAACACAUAGUCGAUCAACUUUGUUCUUCCACUUUUAGCGGUUUAGGUGCUUGUAAGCACGUAGUCACAUUCGAUUUUGUUCUUUUGUUUUUAGCGAUUUAGUUAGGUGUUUGUAAGCAUGUAGUCAUAUUUAGCUUUGUUUUUCCACUUUAGUGGUUUAAGUGCUUGUAAGCAUGUAACCGAAUUAGGCUUUGUUCUUCGGCUUUUAGCAGUUUUGGUGCUUGUUUUUUGUAGUUGAAUUUGGCUUUGUUCUUCCGUUUUUAACGAUUUAGGUGUUUGUUAGCACAUAGUCGAAUUUGACUUUGUUCUUUCUCUCUUAGCGGUUUAGGUGCUUGUAAGCACAUAGUUGGAUUCGACUUUAUUAUUUCAUUUUUAGUGAUUUAGGUGCUUGUAAGCACAUAACUGAAUUUGGUUUUGUUCUUCUGAUUUUAAUGGUUUAGUUAGGUGCUUGUUAUCAUAUAGCCAUAUUUAACUUUGUUUUUCUAUUUGAGUGGUUUAGGUGCUUAUAAUCACAUGGAUGAAUUCGACUUUGUUUAGUUCAUUUUUAGUGAUUUAGUUAGGUGAUUUGCAAGCACAUAGCUGGAUUCGGGUUUGUUCUUCUACUUUUAGCGAUUUAGUUAGCUGCUUAUAAGCACGUGGUCGUAUUCGACUUUGUUCUUCCACUUUAGUGGUUUAAGUGCUUGUAAGCACAUAGCCAAAUUUGACUUUAUUCUUUCGCUUUUAGUGGUUUAGUUAGGUGCUUGUGAGCACGUAGCCAUAUUUGGCUUUGUUCUUCCACUUUAGUAGUUUAGGUGCUUGUAAGCACGUAGCCAACUUCGUGUUGGCUUGGAGGUCAUUAAGGCUGGGUGUGAGGUGGCUUCUUCAGCUUGCACAAUGUCUUGAGGUCAUCUAAGCCUGUAACUCUUCGUGUUCCUAUUUCUUUGUAACUUUAUUUAAUGGUCCAAAUUAAUAAUAAAACUAUUUUUUUUAGUGUAUGAAUAUCUCGAAAUGAAAGAUGGUUAAUGGACAUGUUGUCAACAAUUUGACCAAGUACAACAAUAUCAUUAUGGUUGCUCAAUUCCAAUUCGAUUAUAUAGGGUUUCAUAAUGGGCCAGUACAAACAUGGAGGGUUGUAGCACUAAUAGGUGAUAUUUCUAUGCUCAACCUAUCGGGUAUUAUCAUAUUUAUUAGAGACUUAAGGCAGAGGCAUCAACCCAAAAAAGGAAAAAUCUAAAUUAGAAGAUAGUACACUGAUUGAAGCUAUGACAAGGAGCCCACUUGCAUUGUGAUUGCAGGACUAGUCUCAUGUGCUAUUGUUGUAAUGACUGGGUAUUUUAUGCUAUGUUAGCAUUUCUAUUUUGAAAAGUUUUAUUUUGAGUGAUGGUUGAAAAGUAAAAAAGAAAAGUGUCUGAAGGAACACGUGUUAGUUUUGGAUUGGUGAAAUUCGGUUUAUUGUGUUGGUCAAUUAGGCGAGUUGAAAAUUUUAUGUCAUGUCAGCCUUAGGAUAGAAAUUUCUUAGGAUUUUAGUAAUUGAGAAUUUUCGAAAAAGAAA
Molecule: long non-coding RNA, 7109 nt
Organism: Vitis vinifera (wine grape)
Lineage: Eukaryota; Viridiplantae; Streptophyta; Magnoliopsida; Vitales; Vitaceae
Exons: 5
Source: RefSeq, a predicted model, not a curated record